GUCUAAGGGGUGAGGAGAAUCUUGGAGUGAGAUUGCGAUUGGAGCUUGGAAGAAGAAGAUGACGAAGAUGAAGAUGAAGAAGAAGAAGAAGAAGAUAGGAUUGUUUAGUGAUGGAAGCAUUUUUUUGACACGUGACUCAUGUGGGGAGUUUAUGUCUGCACAUUACAGUCGAAGAUAUAUACACACACGAUUAUGCUCGAAAAAGUUCGUUGGCUGGAGCUCAAACGACAAAGUCAGCGUCGGCAUGAUCGGAAAGUCUUCCUGGCACGGCACGUGGUGGAUGCCUAAUGUGUACC
Salvia miltiorrhiza (redroot sage) is the source of this 296-nucleotide long non-coding RNA. RefSeq lists it as uncharacterized. The transcript has 3 exons. Lineage: Eukaryota; Viridiplantae; Streptophyta; Magnoliopsida; Lamiales; Lamiaceae. The record is from RefSeq and is a predicted model, not a curated record.